This 286-nucleotide small nuclear RNA is filed under the name Prolemur simus (greater bamboo lemur). RNAcentral's name for it is "7SK RNA (ENSPSMG00000019554.1)". It matches the Rfam family "7SK RNA", at positions 1 to 285 of the family's 331-position model. From Rfam's summary of the family: 7SK was discovered as an abundant small nuclear RNA in the mid-70s but a possible function has only recently been suggested. Two independent studies have found that 7SK RNA binds the CDK9/cyclin T complex (known as elongation factor P-TEFb). P-TEFb activates transcription by phosphorylating the C-terminal domain of RNA polymerase II. The record is from RNAcentral. Lineage: Eukaryota; Metazoa; Chordata; Mammalia; Primates; Lemuridae.
GGAUGUGAGGGCAAUCUGGCUGCGACAUCUGUCACCCCAUUGAUCACCUGGGUUGAUUUGGCUGAUCUGGCUGGCUAGGCGGGUGUCCCCUUCCUCCCUCACCGCUCCCUGUGCAUCCCUCCUGAAGCUGCGCACUCAGUCCAAGAGGACGACCUUCCCCAAUAGAGGAGGACUGUUCUUGUUCUUUGGUCAAGGGUAUACAAGCGGCUGCGUUCCCCUGCUAGAAACUCCAAACAAGCUCUCACGGUGUUCAGAGUAUAGGUUAAGAUUUAUUUGUUAACUUAUU